CUCGUUCUAAAGAGACGGUAUCUUAGCAUUCUAAACCAAUGUGUAUAUAGUGUUUCGCUUUAGUGUCGUUUUGAAAAAAAUUAAAGCUCCGUCUUUCGGUCGUUCCACUCCCGCGACGCCAGGAAACUACACCCUCAUCUGCGUGUUCGAGGCGCUGCGUCAGGUGCUGUGGAACAAGAACUACACGUGCACCGACUACGUCUACAUCCGGUUCUUCACGUACAGCACCGAGAAUAACCCGAACGAACCGGUGGUGUUCGAGAGGAAGAAGCUCAAAGUGGGACUCGUGAAUGUGUACUACGACGACAGCAACGCGGAAUGGAGAGAGUACGCCUAUCGAUCGCUCGACAAUCGAGUGAAGAUCGCCAUGUCACGACACCCAGGAACCCGCUGGUAUUUGGGCGUUUGGGGUUCCGCCUACAUGAGGCUCAUGUCCGGCCUCUUCCACGCGUCGGUCGUGCAAAGGGCCCUGCACGACACGCUGCGGAGCCAGUUCAGCGACAAGCUGAACAUGUCCCACUUCCAGGGGUUCGCCAUCAUCAACAGCAUCAUACGCGACACCAGGCCUCUGGGUCGCUCCUUCAAUUUCAGCGAUGUGCGUACACCCUGGGGAAGCGCUCCCUAGUUUCUGGGGUCGAAUGCACAAACCUCUUCUCUCGUAAACGCUGUUUCUUUUUUCACUUUUCUUCUUUUCUUUUUGCCAUUGAACAGAUUUUAACGAUAACUGCUUACGUGCCGCACAUUUGUGCCUACCCGAUGAGGGAACGCUUUGAUCGCUAUGUCACGUAAGAGUUAUCGCUACAAAGAAAUUAUUGUAUAAGAAACUUCGCUAGAGUUGUUUAAAUAUGCGUAAGCAUCGUGCCAUUUGCUCGUCUCCACGCAGCCUGGCGUAGAGAUAACCAUUAAUAGAUUAUAUUUUUCUUUAUGCCGAUGAUGUAAUACAUUUCAUGUAGCGAUUCGUGUUACGUGAUAGACGGAUGGAUUUUUUUUUUUUCGUUAAAUAGUCAUAGAAAUGUUUACGCAUUUAAACCAGAACAGAAUAAUUUCGCAGGGAAAAGACGUUCACGAUGGUGAGGUUUGAGCCCACGACCCCACACUGAGAAGCCGAGUGUCCUACCCACUAGUCCAAACACCCAUGCUUUCAGAGGGUGAAUAUAUCUGGGCCACAUGAAUGUGCUUUACCGGUGGUACAACACAAACGUCAAAGGAGAACUGUUUCUAUGAAGGCUUUGUCGAAAGGUUUGGUUAUGGUGGAAUAAAAGCCAUCUCUAGGACCACACGUAGUGCCGGCUUGGAACAUUCUAUACAUUGGCAAUGUUUCUGAUUUAGCGAAAAUUU
Non-coding RNA from Dermacentor andersoni, 1338 nucleotides. Lineage: Eukaryota; Metazoa; Arthropoda; Arachnida; Ixodida; Ixodidae. The record is from RefSeq and is a predicted model, not a curated record.